AACCAUAGAAACCUGCGGAGUACCUGCGGAGGAUCAUUAUAGUAUAUGGAAUCUCCAUUCUAUAAACCCACUCUGCGUAUCUUGUAACUGUUGCUUCCAUGGGACUUGGUUCCGCCACACCGGCUUCACGGCUGGUGAGCGCCCAUGGAAGGAGAAACAAAACUCUUCUUUGAAAUGUAGUCAGUCUGAACAAGUUUUUAUAAACGUUAAAACUUUUAGCAACGGAUCUCAGAUCGGAAG
RNAcentral lists this unclassified non-coding RNA (240 nucleotides) under soil metagenome. Its description in RNAcentral is "partial contains 5.8S ribosomal RNA, internal transcribed spacer 2, and large subunit ribosomal RNA". The record is from RNAcentral.